RNAcentral lists this ribosomal RNA (2499 nucleotides) under Triticum aestivum (bread wheat). RNAcentral describes it as "partial small subunit ribosomal RNA". Lineage: Eukaryota; Viridiplantae; Streptophyta; Magnoliopsida; Poales; Poaceae. The record is from RNAcentral.
AUGGGGAAUGUGGAGCAACAUUUGGAAAAUGCAACGCCAACAACCUUGUUGCAUUAUCAGUUGAGUGAUAUGUGGAGGAGUCCUAGGGGUACAGUACUUCGUAUCGAGGGAUUAGCACUGGUGGGAAUUACGUGCUCCUUCUUCCUUGUUGCCUUUGGGUCCUGUCGCCGCUGGUCCAAUAGUUGGAUUAUCCAAAAGGGUUUCUUGGCUGCACAAGUGUUAUCUUUGUCCCUCGGGACUUAUAGCAUUGGCCUAAUGCAGUCUUCGUCGGUGAAGAGCGAGAUGUAUCCUAUAUGGGCUGUGUCCUUACUCACAUUGUUCGGCUGCGUCGACCCAAUCACCACCUACAUCGGCCUUGAAUACAAGGGCCCACUCUUGAAGAUUAUAUUUCAGCUUUGCCUCUACUGUGGAUAUGUCCUGCUGAUGAGUGUCUCAACCAUCUCCGGUGUUGUUGGUAAAUUAGCCAUUGGUGUGUUAUCUGCCAUCACCUUCAUCAAGGGCUUUCAUAUGUCAUUGGCGCUUGUCCAGCCAAGCAGGGCGCGGGACAAGUUAGCAGAGUUUCACGGUACAGCCCCCAUAAAAGUAGUAAGAAAGUUUAAUGGUACAGAAAUCGGUACUUUAGCAGGUGACAGUGGGGAACUUCAGGUCCAUUUACCAGUUUACCACUUAAUGCAGAUAAAAAAGAGACGUGGAAGGAAAGAGUAUAUUACUACUAGCAUGGCUGAUAUACAUUCAAGCUGCAAAGAAAUGAUGGGUAAUAAGCUACAGUUGAAAGAGGUCACUGCCAACGGCAUUGAAGACGUGUGCCUUGGCUACUCUUUGUCUCAUUUGUUACAACGGCGUUUCCUUGGGUUGGACACCCCUAGGGAAAUGGAGUUAAAAAUUGAGAAAUUUGAACAUUUUGCAGGGAUUGGUCGGGCCAUCGACUAUAAAAGGAUCUUGAACGCGAUUGAGGUUGAGUUGGCUUUUCUGUACGAGGUCUUUUUCACCAGCAAUGAGUUCCUUCACUACCAUGAAGCAAGAGACUGUAGUUUCUGGGCAUUCGCUUCAUUCGUUGGGAUAUGUUUUGUUGGGGUAGCGACUGCCAUUCCUGGGGCAAUGUCAAGCCACCACCAUAUUACAGGCUCUAAUAGUCCUGGUGCUAGCACUAUUGUUGUUAACACCAGAACAGCUGACCUCACCAUCACUCUUGUCAUAUUGGUGUCUCUGGCUCUGCUGCAAUUGGUGCAGUUGAUGCGGUGCUGGACGUCAAAUUGGGCGCUAGUUGCCUUUGCCUGCGAGUACGCCCGGGAAGAAAAUGAGUACGCCAUGAAGCAAUACAAGCAAGCAGCGGCAACCGCAGAUCCAGAAAGCUGGGGGCAAAUCAGCUCCAACUCUCAAGAGAAGCAAAUCAGCUGGUGGGUGAGAUUGAAAGCAUUCGUGGUUACCAGGAUGAAUUGGUUUGACAAGUACCUCUGGCAAGAUAAGCUCGGGCAAUAUUCAUUAGUUGAUGAGGCAACCAGCCGCAAGAGAAAAUGCGGACUAUGUACAUCGGAUGGCUUGCUUGCAGUACCCUGUGGUGACUUGGUUCUGUGGUUUUGCCGGGCAUGGCCUGGCUUGCGUCAGAUGUUUGGAUUGCAGUACAUUGGACAGGUGAUCCGGGAAUUGUGGGCCUGCGAUACCAGCACAACCGUCAGGCUGCACGACGAUGUGAAGGCAUCCAUCGCCGAUUUCCUGGGGAAGAUCAAGAGCAGAAGAAUAGGGGUGGAGUGGUCAUCCUUGUUUCACGGGCAAAAAAAUUACGGGAUCAACGUAUUGGCUGAGCUGCGUGGUGUUACCAAGUCGGACGCCUAUGCAUUCUCGCACCGUGUCAUGGUUUGGCAUAUCGCGACUUGCUGCUGCGAGGAAGUAGAGACGCAGGAAGGAAGCACCGGAGGAGGCGGCGGCGGCGGCAGUAGUGACGACACUAGAGAGAGGAAUCGGCGCGUGGCCAUGGCACUGUCCAGGUAUUGCGCCUAUCUGGUGGUGUCUGCGCCGGAGUUGCUCCCUGGGCCAUCCAUGGAAACAAAGCGCGCGCACAAGGACGUUAUGUUCAAUUUAACUCACUUCGGGUUUAAGUCACUACGGGGAGUGGUGCGACUGGAUCCAUUUCAAGGACGCUAUGUUCCACGUGAAGACGACGCCCUUGAGAUGGGUGUGUAUUGGGGCAUGCGGCUUCUCAACGAAUGUCCUCCGCCUCCGGGAUGCACGCCGCGCCGCCGCUCUGAUGACCAUUGGGAGAUGCUGGCCCUCCUAUGGGUCCAGACGUUGCUCUACGCCGCGCCGUAUGGCGACAUGCAGAGGCACAUGCAGCAUCUCUCGCAGGGUGGCGAGUUCAUCACCCAUCUCUGGGCCCUGCUCUACCACAUCGGGAUCGACAGGUGGGAUGGGGAACCAGCCCAAGCUGCCGCGGGGGAGACGAGGGAAGCUGCACAAGCCCAAGGAGAUACGAGCGAAGCAGAAAUUGAAGUCCUCAACUAG